GGGAGAAAAGAAACAACAAGGCAGAUGUACAGACAAACAAUAAGGGAGACAAGAAACAACAAGGCAGGUGUACAGACAAACAAUAAGGGAGAUAAGAAACAACAAGGCAGGUGUACAGACAAACAAUAAGGGAGAUAAGAAACAACAAGGCAGAUGUACAGACAAACAAUAAGGGAGAUAGGAAAUAACAAGGCAGGUGUACAGACAAACAAUAAGGGAGAUAAGAAACAACAAGGCAGGUGUACAGACAAACAAUAAGGGAGAUAAGAAACAACAAGGCAGAUGUACAGACAAACAAUAAGGGAGAUAAGAAACAACAAGGCAGGUGUUCAGACAAUGAAAAAAGUGGAUAAGAAACAACAAGGCGAAUUGUCAGACAAAUGAUUAAGAAAAUAAGAAACAACAAGGCGGGUUUUCAGACAAACAAUAAAGGAGAUCAGAAACAACAAGGCGGGUUUU
Mytilus californianus (California mussel) is the source of this 459-nucleotide long non-coding RNA. RefSeq lists it as uncharacterized. The record is from RefSeq and is a predicted model, not a curated record. NCBI's taxonomy places the organism in Eukaryota, Metazoa, Mollusca, Bivalvia, Mytilida, Mytilidae. The transcript has 2 exons.